AACGAACGCUGGCGGCGCGCCUAAUACAUGCAAGUCGAGCGAGAAGACGUAGCAAUACGUUUGUAAAGCGGCGAACGGGUGAGGAAUACAUGGGUAACCUACCCUCGAGUGGGGAAGUAACUAGCCGAAAGGUUAGCUAAUACCGCGUACGCUCCUUGGUACUUCGGUUCAGGGAGGAAAGCGAUACCGUGGGUAUCGCGCUCUUGGAUGGGCUCAUGUCCUAUCAGCUUGUUGGUGAGGAACGGCCCACCAAGGCUUCGACGGGUAGCUGGUCUGAGAGGACGAUCAGCCACACUGGCACUGCGACACGGGCCAGACUCCUAC
RNAcentral lists this ribosomal RNA (324 nucleotides) under uncultured bacterium. RNAcentral's name for it is "bacterial SSU rRNA". It matches the Rfam family "Bacterial small subunit ribosomal RNA", at positions 29 to 342 of the family's 1533-position model. The record is from RNAcentral.